GGUUUUUAGAUUUUUAUUUAAGAUCAGGCCUGCCCAUUGAUUUGAAAAAUUAAAAGGCUGCGGUAUUUUAACUGUACGAAGGUAGCAUAAUCACUUGUCUUUUAAUUGGAGGCUAGAAUGAAUGGUUUGAUGAAAAAUAAACUUUCUUUUUUUAAUUUAUUUGAAUUUAAUUUUUUAGUUAAAAAGCUAAAAUUUUUUUAUAGGACGAGAAGACCCUAUAGAAGUUAACUAUAUUAAUAAUUUUUUUGUUUUUGUUGUUAAAGUAUUUUUUAAAAUAUAUAGUUUUGUUGGGGUGACAUUAAAAUUUAUUUAACUUUUAAUUUUUUUUUUCAUUAGUUUAUGUUUUUUUUGAUCCAGUAUUUAUUGAUUAGAAGUUUAACUUACCUUAGGGAUAACAGCGUAAUUUUUUCGGAGAGUUCAUAUUGAUGGAUAAAGUUUGCGA
Molecule: ribosomal RNA, 442 nt
Filed under: Limnogonus profugus
Lineage: Eukaryota; Metazoa; Arthropoda; Insecta; Hemiptera; Gerridae
Description: partial 16S large subunit ribosomal RNA
Source: RNAcentral